Molecule: non-coding RNA, 74 nt
Organism: Phrynosoma platyrhinos (Desert horned lizard)
Lineage: Eukaryota; Metazoa; Chordata; Lepidosauria; Squamata; Phrynosomatidae
Source: the annotation of a GenBank genome assembly
GUCCUCAUGGUAUAGUGGUUAGAGUAUUGGACUAGAACUCUGGGAGACUAGGGUUCAAAUCCCUGGUUAACACA